This 756-nucleotide ribosomal RNA is filed under the name uncultured Halobacteria archaeon. RNAcentral's name for it is "partial 16S ribosomal RNA". It matches the Rfam family "Archaeal small subunit ribosomal RNA", at positions 1 to 709 of the family's 1478-position model. The record is from RNAcentral. Lineage: Archaea; Methanobacteriati; Methanobacteriota; Halobacteria.
UGGGCCCGACGUCGCAUGCUCCCGGCCGCCAUGGCGGCCGCGGGAAUUCGAUUGGGUUGAUCCUGCCGGAGGCCAUUGCUAUCGGAAUCCGUUUUAGCCAUGCGAGUCGCACGGGUUUAGACCCGUGGCGAACUGCUCAGUAACACGUGGCCAAACUACCCUAUAGACACGGACAAUCUCGGGAAACUGAGGGUAAUCCGUGAUAGCGAUCUCCUGCUGGAAUGUGGAGAACGCGAAAUGCUCAGGCGCUAUAGGAUGUGGCUGCGGCCGAUUAGGUAGACGGUGGGGUAACGGCCCACCGUGCCCAUAAUCGGUACGGGUCAUGAGAGUGAGAGCCCGGAGACGGACUCUGAGACACGAGUCCGGGCCCUACGGGGCGCAGCAGGCGCGAAACCUUUACACUGCACGACAGUGCGAUAAGGGGAUUCCGAGUGCGAGGGCAUACAGUCCUCGCUUUUGUACACCGUAGGGUGGUGUACGAAUAAGGGCUGGGCAAGACCGGUGCCAGCCGCCGCGGUAACACCGGCAGCCCAAGUGAUGGCCGCUAUUAUUGGGCCUAAAGCGUCCGUAGCUGGCCGGACAGGUCCGUUGGGAAAUCCACUUGCUUAACGAGUGGGCGUCCAGCGGAAACCGUUCGGCUUGGGACCGGAAGACCCGAGGGGUACGUCUAGGGUAGGAGUGAAAUCCUGUAAUCCUGAACGGACCACCGGUGGCGAAAGCGCCUCGGGAGAACGGAUCCGACAGUGAGGGACGAAA